CACUAGCCCCUAUUGCAGUGGAAAUCCUUUUUUGCAUGGUCUUCGGGUUCUGGAAAUCCGAAAAGGACAUGCAAAAAAGAUUGCAACGAAAAGCGGGAUUAGCU
Molecule: small RNA, 104 nt
Filed under: Epilithonimonas mollis
Lineage: Bacteria; Pseudomonadati; Bacteroidota; Flavobacteriia; Flavobacteriales; Weeksellaceae
Description: Chryseobacterium molle Flavo-1 RNA
Rfam family: Flavo-1 RNA
Source: RNAcentral